RNAcentral lists this long non-coding RNA (3317 nucleotides) under Homo sapiens (human). RNAcentral describes it as "HSALNT0353389". The record is from RNAcentral. Lineage: Eukaryota; Metazoa; Chordata; Mammalia; Primates; Hominidae.
AAUUCCUCCCAUGCAUGCGCCAUCCCCAGUCAAGUCCUUCCUCAUCACCGUCCACCAGCUCACACAGUGGGGUAGCUGGCUGCUGAGGCAAUUCCACAAUGGUUUCUCCGGUCUUUGGCCAUCUUUACGUAGCCACCCAUGCCCCAUUCUUCACCCCAGCUGAAAAAAGAGCAGGUUUUCCAUUUCAGAGAAAGAAUAAAGCCCAAAGGGUUAUUAACAGGAACACCCAACUUAAACACUGUGCCAGAGGCCAUAGACUUAACAGAAAGAAUCAGGACAGGCAAUGUUCCUGUUUAUCCUUAAAAAAUUCUUGACAUAACCUGGACAUAAUUUCCAUCCCAGCCUCCAAACUGUGACCUUUCACAGAACUACAGAUCAGAGACAGGAAAACAAUAGGAUGUCUUUGCAGCCAGAUAUGCCUCAGAAUUUAAAAACUGUUCAGAUUUAGAUACACCUUUAUACAAUGGAACAAAUACUAUAUUCAUACUCCCAAGAUAUUUGUGACAGUUUCUUACUUUUAUAAUCAAACAUUAAUAUUAUAUGUUCAACUUAGACUUCUGGGGAUUUCAGAAGUAUGCCUAAGGGCAUGUGGAACUGUAUCCAAACACUGUUUGCAAAUAAGUAUUCUCUUUUGAAUUUCAAAUGUAAGUAUUUCUGGCAAUUUAUACCUGUUCUUCACCAGCCAAUAUUUAUUGUUAUCUGAUUCUGUGCUUUCAAAUCCGUAGCCAACCACCAGCACACCAUGAUCCAUGUCUUCACUGCUACAGUCUGGCUCAAAAUAAAUGCCUGGGAUGGUAAAAUGAGGGCUGGGGUGAGAAGCUCCAGAGGACACAUGACAGUAACCCAUCCUGUCACCCACAGGGAAUGAGGCAUCUCUGAAUUCAGUGAAGUGACACACAUUCCAGAUAGUACUUAACAACAAUAAGAAGGCCAGGGAUUUAAGCUCUCAUUUACAACUAGCAGAAAUAGAAAUCAGCAUAAAUCCUUCAUUAAAAAAAAGCUUUCCUAGAGGAAAAAAAGACCCCUCUUUGUAAGCUUGUAAUUCUACUCUAGGAUAUCAAUCUAAAAAAAUAGCACAGAACACUAAAAUCCUUGAAUCAAAAGGCUCUUUUCGGAUUUAAUAAUAGAAGUAAAAAUCUUUGGAAAAAUUAUAAAAAUCCAACAAUUGCAGAAUAUUUUAAGUAUAUUAAACUACACAGUAAAUAUAGCUAUUUAUAAAAAGUUAUGAAGUACUUAUAUUCAUGGAGAUAUACGCAACAUAAUGUCAAAUGGAAACAUCAGGUAUAAAUAUUGCAUGUACAGAAUGAACAACUAUGAUGCUAAGCACCUAAAUAUCUACACUGAACUUUACUUGCAAACCAGAGUCUAUCAUGCUCGUAUGUCAUGAUACUCUUUUUCUGCAUCAAUUUCUACAAAGAAAAAUAUGCUUACCUUCUUUAUAGAACAGGAAGGACUCAUGACCUGCAUCAAUAGCAACAGAAAUGGGCCCCACAGUUGCAACUGCCUUCAUCAGGGCCUUCUCCUGCUUAGGGAUGUCCACAAAGCCGGUGUCAUUAGCAACAGAAUACUUGGGAUUGUACUUACAGGAUUCUUCCUUUCAAAGGUAAAGGGAAAAAAAAGACUUGAUUACUGCUGUCCUCCUCCUGGAGAACAUGAGUUAGAACCACAACACUCAGCAGUGUGCAGCUUAGUAUUUCCAAGUCACCACUGUUAUAAAUCAUCCCAGGAAGUGAAAUGCUAUUAGUUAAUCUGAAACUGAAAAUUGACUCCAGUCUCUUCAAUGAGACCUCUGGGUUUACUUCCAUAAGACAUUUUUCACAAUAGAGAAAUGUGUAUAUUUAGAAUGGCUUGUAUAUUCUUCACGUUACAUAGAAGCAAGAACAGCUAUAUGUUACCCAUCUAAUCACAGGAUUGUGCAAAGGCUAAUAAUUUAUAAUGACAGUACUGACAAUUUGCAGAUAUAUAUUCUGCCAUCUAAUAUGUGAACUUUUUUUUUUUUUUGGAGACAGGGUCUCAUUCUGUCACUCAGACUGGAGAGUGCAUUUGCACAACCACCUCCCACACUCAAGCAAUCGCCCUACCUCAGCAUAGCUGGGACCACAGACGCACACCACCACAGCCGGCUAAUUUUCGUUGUAUUUUUGAUAGAGUCAAGGUUUCACCUUGUUGCCCAGGCUGGUCUCAAACUCCUGAGCUUAAGCCAUCUGCCUGGCUCAGCCUCCUAAAGGGCUGGGAUUACAGGCGUGAGCCACCCCACCCAGCCCUAAUAUAUGAAUUCCGAAAAAGGUAUCUGUUAUCUCUUAAAGUGUCCACCUUCCAAAAGCUGAGCUGGAAUGAUGACAAGGAGCUCCACUUACUGUUGCCUCAUAUGGAUAGGAUUCCUCAGAGUCCAGGCCUCCAUUAUCCUGAACAUACUGGAAAGCAUAAUCCAUUAGGCCACCAUUGCAGCCUUCAUUGCCUUGAGGCCCAGAGCAGUCUACCAGAUUCUGCUCACUCAGUGAGAUAAGCCUCCCAGUUUUCCGGAACAUCUGUCCUUCAAGAGCACCAGUAGCACUAAAAGCCCAACAAGAACCACACUGACCCUGAAAAGGGAAUUAAAAAAAGCUGUCAUCCACAAAAAAAAAAUAAUAAGACUUUGACAACAGCUCACACAUCUGAAUACUGUUAAAAAGUGAACUGUACAUCACUUUAAAGUCUACCAAAACAAAGAUGUCAAUCACUUCUUGGCUUUCCUGGGAAGAUGGGAGGUCUGAACCUGACACUGUCUCACCUGAUUCUUCACAGGAGUCACGUAGCCUUUCUCUCUCCAAUCCACAGAUCUGGGGGCCUCAUAAAACAGAGGUUCCUGGAACACUUUCCCCUUCCUGGGCUUACGGUUUUGAAAGCCAUUCAUCACCUGCCUGAAUUCUUCACUGGUCUUCAAGGAAAAGGAAAUAAAAUGUUGAAAAGCAAGAGAUUACCUUAGUAAAGAACCGAAGAGAGGAAGCACAGAGCUCGGCAGUCCACAGCACACUUACCAUGUCUCCAAAGGCGUUCAUGGCCAUUGUGAAGCUGUGUUUCCCUUCCCUGUAUUCCUGAUUGUGCAGUUCAAUCAUCUUCAUGUUCUUCUCCCACACUGCUCUCCUCCAUCCUUCUUCAUUCUAGAGGCCAGCAGAGUUCGGGGUAGACGCUCUCGUUGCCAGGGCUGGUGCACACCUACUCGACCGCGUCCUCUCUUCCAGUCCCUGUCCGGCCACAGCUGGGCCUGGCCGGCGGCGCUUUCCUGCUGCGGUCGUAGCUGCGCAGGCGCACUCCACGGAUGCCGCUCAAGGUUGCGG